RNAcentral lists this ribosomal RNA (274 nucleotides) under uncultured bacterium. RNAcentral's name for it is "partial 16S ribosomal RNA". It matches the Rfam family "Archaeal small subunit ribosomal RNA", at positions 473 to 747 of the family's 1478-position model. The record is from RNAcentral.
AAACCAGCACCUCAAGUGGUCAGGAGGAUUAUUGGGCCUAAAGCAUCCGUAGCCUGUUCUGUAAGUUUUCGGUUAAAUCCACUAGCUCAACUAGUGGGCUGCCGAAAAUACUGUAGAACUAGGGAGUGGGAGAGGUAGACGGUAUUCGGUAGGAAGGGGUAAAAUCCUUUGAUCUAUUGAGGACCACCUGUGGCGAAGGCGGUCUACCAGUACACGUUCGACGGUGAGGGAUGAAAGCUGGGGGAGCAAACCGGAUUAGAAACCCGAGUAGUCC